This 163-nucleotide small nuclear RNA is filed under the name Pogona vitticeps (central bearded dragon). Its description in RNAcentral is "U1 spliceosomal RNA (ENSPVIG00000018160.1)". It matches the Rfam family "U1 spliceosomal RNA". From Rfam's summary of the family: U1 is a small nuclear RNA (snRNA) component of the spliceosome (involved in pre-mRNA splicing). Its 5' end forms complementary base pairs with the 5' splice junction, thus defining the 5' donor site of an intron. Lineage: Eukaryota; Metazoa; Chordata; Lepidosauria; Squamata; Agamidae. The record is from Rfam by way of RNAcentral.
ACACUUUUCUGGAGAAAUACCAUGCCAUAAAAAUGGUUUUCCCAGGGGGAGGCUCAUUCAUUGCACUUUGGGUGUGCUGCUGAUCCCUGUGAUUUCCCUAAAUGUGGGGAACUCAGCUGCAUAAUUUAUGUUAAUAAGAAGAUUACAUUUAUGAUUUUUCUUU